This 829-nucleotide ribosomal RNA is filed under the name uncultured bacterium. RNAcentral describes it as "bacterial SSU rRNA". It matches the Rfam family "Bacterial small subunit ribosomal RNA", at positions 32 to 843 of the family's 1533-position model. The record is from RNAcentral.
AACGCUGGCGGCGGGGUUUAGGCAUGCAAGUCGCGCGAGAAAGCCGCAAGGCAAGUACAGCGGCGUAAGGGUGAGUAAUGGUUCGUCAACGUACCGACUGGACGCGGAUAAUUCUCCGAAAGGGGUUGUAAUACGCGAUGAGACCACGGGCUGUCCGCAGCACGAGGUCAAAGGUCCGGGAUCCUUCGGGACCGGGCGCCGGUUGAGCGGACGAACUCUGAUUAGCUAGUUGGCGGGGUAACGGCCCACCAAGGCUUUGAUCAGUAGCCGGGCUGAGAGGCUGUCCGGCCACACGGGCACUGAGACACUGGCCCGACUCCUACGGGAGGCUGCAGUCGCGAAUCUUUCACAAUGGGCGCAAGCCUGAUGAAGCCACGCCGCGUGCGGGAUGAAGGCCCUCUGGGUUGUAAACCGCUGUCGAGGAAGGGGAACCGCUGCAUGUGAAUAGCAUGCAGUCUGACUGCUUCCUGAAGGAAGCCCCGGCAAAACAUGUGCCAGCAGCCGCGGUAAUACAUGUGGGGCAAGCGUUGUUCGGAAUUACUGGGCAUAAAGGGUGCGUAGGUGGUCUGCUAAGUCAGUGGUGAAAUCCCGCGGCCCAACCGUGGAACUGCCAUCGAUACUGGCGGACUUGAGUGCGUGAGGGGUUACCGGAACGAGCAGUGUAGCGGUGAAAUGCGUAGAUAUUGCUCGGAAGGCCAGAGGCGAAGGCGGGUAACUGGCACGCAACUGACACUGAGGCACGAAAGCGUGGGGAGCAAACAGGAUUAGAUACCCUGGUAGUCCACGCCGUAAACUAUGGGCACUAGAUGGAUGUCGAGCUAUCGAUGUC